RNAcentral lists this long non-coding RNA (478 nucleotides) under Bemisia tabaci. RNAcentral's name for it is "lncRNA ENSSSA1NGG004410". The record is from RNAcentral. Lineage: Eukaryota; Metazoa; Arthropoda; Insecta; Hemiptera; Aleyrodidae.
GGAUCUUCAGGAGCUGAUGAGUCCACCUAGAGUAGCCACUUAAAUCUCGCAGCUGUUGCUGUUGAUCUAGUGGGUGGUUUCACGAUAACUGGAAUAGUUUUGUCGCCGUAACAGACAACACAUUUUUCGGUCAUAUUUUUAGUAGAAAUGAUAAGUCGUUGUUAGAUUUGUCAAAACUGUGCGCAGCUUACAGAAGCAGUUCAGCGUAACACAAGGCACAUCAAUAGGACCAUGAAGUGUCAUCAAUUCAUUUUUUAAAGUAACCGGGUUAGUUGUCUUGCGGAAAAAUGCGUAUCAAGCUUAGGAUUUCGAUGUAUUCAGGGUUCGUCUAAAGCCCUUCGAAUUCUAAAUGUGCGCAUGUAUAUUACGAUUUGAUUCUAAUUUUCUGGUAUUUUUACUUUUGUUGCAGGUAACUAUAACCAACCGCACCACUUUUAAGAGCGCAGCCUCUUCGUUUUUUUGCCCUCACCAUCAUUAG